UGAAUUGUAGGCCUAUAAGGCUAAUAACAGUACACUAAGCUAUAUUGGUGUCUGAAAAAUGGAAGAGCAGAGAAGAGGAGAGUAGAGGGCAAGCAAAUUCGGUAUUGAGCAAGGAAAAUGUUUGGGAAUCAAGUAAGUUGAGACUAAAAAAAAAACUUAGCAUCUCAUCUUUCUUCUUCUUCUCCUCCCAGCCGAUCGAGCCUUCCUUUCCUUUUCCCCAAUUUUGCCGCGCUCCUCCCCUGUCAAGAAACAGCCCAGCCGAGCUCCCUCCUCUCAAUUCAAUUCCAAAAUUGGUUAAGCUAAACACAAGAAUCAAAGCUAAGGAAAGCUUAUUGAGAUUAAAAUCAAGCUAACAAAGAGGUAUACAUUAAAUUAAGUAUGUUUUCUUUAAUUUAUAUGGAGUUAAUAUAUGAAUAUGUGAUUUAGUUUGUAAUUGCUAAAUUACACAAGAAUGGACUAAGGAGAAGAAUUAGCUUGAUUAAUAUUGGUAAUUAAGGCUAUGGGUAAUUGUUAUAAGUAUGGGAAUUUCUGUAUUGCAUAAUGGUUGCAUUAGAAUCAAGAAACUAAGAAAUGACAAGGUUAACUUUGAAGUUAGUAAACUAACUUAUGUAAAUAUGUAUACAUGUAUGGUUUAUAUUGUGAAUCUGUUCUUAUGGACUAAAUUAGAGCCUUGGCGUAUAGUUGUUGUUGUGCGGAGCAAUAAGAUUGGCAAAAAUGGUUUGAUUAUGUAACCCCAACUUAUAGAAAUCAGUCCACAAAAAAAAAAAAAAACGCACGCGCGAUGUUCGUUUAAAUGCUCAAAAGGGCCAUUUUGGCUAAAAUUACAUAAUUUUACGAAGCCGGGACUUUGGACUCGUCUUAAUAUGUUAAACAAGACUUAGUUGUGAAGCAAAACGAGUCGGAGCGAACCACGACGAGUUUUGGCUUGUGAACGUAAAGUCUAAAAAUUAGCCUCUACAGCCUUUUUCGGCACACUGUUUGGUCAGUUUAGAAAACUUAAAUUGCUGAGGUUAUAUUUUUUAGAAAUACUAUGGUAUGCCAUGUAUAACAUAUCCAAAAAUUGGAUCAAUCCGAUAAACGAGUAAUGCGUGAGAAACUCGCAAAAGGGGCAGCAGCAGCAGGCCAACGCGCACGUGCUGCUGGGCAGCUGCCUGACAUGCUUUUUGCUCGCUGUUUUGAUUGGCUUUCGGGAUUCCUUUUCGCGGUUAGAAAUUUUUUAUAAAAAUACUAUGACAUAAGAGCUCCAACAUACCAAGAAUUUGUUGCGAUUCGAGUUAUGGUUUGAGAUUUAAAAUUAGGCAAAAAGGCAUGUCAGGACUAAAAUUUGAGCGACGCCGAGUGUCGACACGCCGGGCUGUUUUGACAUUUGUCGUUCCGAAUCGCGUUUGGGCUAGAUUUUAAGUAAUGUUAAGUCUAAUAAAGUCCCAAGAGAUAAAUUUUGAUGUUAUGUGAUAAGUUAUGCUACGAAAACUCAGUACGGGCAAUUUGUAUGUGAAAAUGGUUUUAUAACGAAACGAAAAAGUAUGGAACCAUUUGAAAAAUUGUAUUAAUCAUAAAAAUGAUAUUUUGAGAUUUUUGGAGUUCAAAAUGAGGUUUUGAGUUGAUAUAUAUAUAUAUAUAUAUAUAUAUAUAUAUAUAAAUAUAUAUAUAAAGCAAAAUACAAAUAUUUGUAAAAAGAAAAAUAAAGCAAAUGUGCUAGCAAGAUAAAAUAUUUGUAUAUAAGGCCACAAUUAGUGUUGACUCAUGAACGGACAAAUUGAUGUAAAAAUUAUUUAAAUUAAAGAAAUAAUAUAGUAAGUUGAGUUUUACUAUAAAAGCUAUGUAUUAGCUAUUUAAACCCCAAAUUAGCGAAUAAAUGUAAAAGAUAUUUCUAAAAAGGAAUAUAAAUGAUUUAAGCUUCAAGAUGUAAAAUAUUUGCAUCUUAAAAUGUGUGAGACCUUUAUUAUUUAUGAAACAAGUAAAAUAUUAUUACAUGAUUAAUAAUAUUAGAUAAUGAUUAAAAUAUUAUUAAAUGAUUAAUAAUAUUAGUAAAUAAUUUGAAUAUUAUUAAAUGAUUAAUAAUAUUAGAAGGUGAUUAAAAUAUUAUUAAAUGAUUAAUAAUAUUUAUAAAUGAUGAAGAUAUUACUAAGAAAUUGAGAAGUAAAUAAAAUAUUAUUAAAAGAUUAAUAAUAUUAGACGAGAAUUUAAGAUGAUAUUAUGUGAUAAUAAUAUUAUCAAAUGACGAUAAUAUUACUAAUGAGUUAAAAAAUUAUUCAACGUUUGAUUAUGUGGCUAAAUGUUAGCUAAUUUAUUAUUUGAGUAAUAGUAUUGUGAGAUAAAAUGUAUUAUGCUAAUUGGAGGAUCAAUCUUGUUAAUGAUAGGUCUUUCAUAAGAGAUUAAAUUAGAUUACUUAGCGGUAAUCAACGGUACAGGCAAGUUUUCUAACUCAAACUCGAGUUAAUAAUUUUUUUAGAAUGCUAGUGGUUUAAUUAUUGACAAUUAUUCCACAUCUAUGAUUAUUGAUUCGCACUAGUGCACAUUACAUAUGUUUAUCAGGUAUGAAAGGCUGAUCACCUUCAUUACCAAAGUAUUUGUUCAUGGUCAUUGUUGAUCACUCAACGUUAUUAAUUCAAUCAUCUAUGUAUUGAAAUUUGAUUCAUGUAUUUCACAAUUAUUACAUUGUUGAAAACUUGAAAGUUUAUUCAUUCCUUUUAAUCAUGAUAUAUCUUCAAUUAAAUUUAAACUUGUUGGGCAAACUUGUUGCUCACCCUUGCUAUAUCAUGAUAAAAAAUUUCAGAUUUAAGAGGAAAGCUCGAGUAAAGACAGAAGCAAAGACAGUGCAAGAUUUAAUUAUGGUGCAGUUAAAUCUAUUAAAUUUUUCUGAUGAAAAUAGCAUUGUAAACCUUUUUAGAUAUUGAAGGUAUGUAUUAAGUUAAGGUUGUAGACCUUGGGAAUGAUGUGUAAAAGUUUAAUGUAAAAACAAUUUAUGUUUAUAUCUUCCGCAAUAGUUAUAGAAAUGAUGUACCAGGUCUGAGGUAAAAAGUACCCGGAUUUGGGGGUGUCACAAUGGCGGGCGGGCGGGCAGGCCCAGCCCGCGGGCCUGGGCCUCUUUUGCCGGGUCUAUUUUUAUUCAUAAUUUUGGAUGAGGAAGAGAAUUUUGUGGGUAGUUCUUAAUGUUCACAAUAGUUAUUACAAUGUAAAAAUGUCAAAUUUUGAAUUUGCAUUCUUUUCAUGUGUGAAUGAUAAAUCUUUUUGGUCGUAUCUGUUGUGUGAUUAUUCAUGCAUGAUACCUUUCUAGCUAGGACCACCUCUAUAGAGAUGCAGAAGCUUUACCAAAAAUGUUUCUCUUCGGAGAUUUGAGCUUAAUGCUGCAUAAGAGAGUUCUUUAGUGGAAAUUUCAAAUUUAAAAAUGGUAGAUUGAAACCAUUAGCCUCUAAACAAGGAAGUGAUUUGCUUACUAAAUAUCCAAAAGAUUUUUUUGGUGAUACUUUGACCACUUUUUCCUUUUCUCCAAAGGAAAAUGCCAGCUCCUCUUAUGUCCAUCUUCACCACCUUUGGUUGCUCAUGGAAACGCUUGACACCUUCUAGCAUCUCUUCCAUAUUCAAAAGUACCAAUCAGUUUCUUAUCCUCUCUAUUUUUUUUCAUCACUUUGACUUAGUUUACAUAAGAAUUUAAAAUGAUUCAAUUUCCCCUUUUUAAAUCACUAAAAUUUGAGAAGUUUUCUACUGGUCUUUAAUUUAG
Molecule: long non-coding RNA, 3721 nt
Filed under: Panax ginseng (ginseng)
Lineage: Eukaryota; Viridiplantae; Streptophyta; Magnoliopsida; Apiales; Araliaceae
Description: long non-coding RNA (PGIN_LNC018218)
Source: RNAcentral